GGUUUAAUUCGACGCAACGCGAAGAACCUUACCAAGCCUUGACAUGUCCGGACCGAUCCCUGAAAGGGGAUUUUCCCAGCAAUGGGCCGGAACACAGGUGCUGCAUGGCUGUCGUCAGCUCGUGUCGUGAGAUGUUGGGUUAAGUCCCGCAACGAGCGCAACCCUCGCCAUUAGUUGCCAUCAUUCAGUUGGGCACUCUAGUGGGACUGCCGGUGAUAAGCCGGA
RNAcentral lists this ribosomal RNA (225 nucleotides) under uncultured bacterium. RNAcentral's name for it is "partial 16S ribosomal RNA". It matches the Rfam family "Bacterial small subunit ribosomal RNA", at positions 943 to 1167 of the family's 1533-position model. The record is from RNAcentral.